This 1022-nucleotide long non-coding RNA is filed under the name Daucus carota (carrot). Its description in RNAcentral is "long non-coding RNA (DCAR_LNC004219)". Lineage: Eukaryota; Viridiplantae; Streptophyta; Magnoliopsida; Apiales; Apiaceae. The record is from RNAcentral.
UUAUAUACCCUAUCUAUCAUAAUCACACAAUAUCAAUCGUCUCUUGAUUUAGUCGAUCUUCUUCUUCUGUCCAGCACUCCCUCAUUUCACGAAGUCCCAAUUCAUUUCAGUUUUCUUAGUCAAUUGAUUUCUCAACUUGGUUCGUAACCCACCUUAUCUUUUCUUCCCUCUAGCCCUCUCCCGUUUCACGAAGACCAAUUCAGUUCUCAAAGUGAAUUGAUUUCCUGACCCAGUCCGUAACCCACCUUAAUCUUUGUGUAUGGUGCAUAAUAACUCAACCUCCAAGAUCUGCCAACUUGUUCAACAUCCAAUUUUUAAAUGGUAAGCACAUGAUUGGUUCUCUUGAUCAGAAGCUGCGGUGGGCUUGAGAAGAUAAGAAGAGUAUAGGGUAUCACAAACUUGGUUGUAGCCGCCUGACUGCUAGUGGUGCCAAUGAUGGUAGCGGUGGUUAAUUAAACUCUUGAUUAGUCGAGAGAUAUCUAGAUCUGGGUUAAAUCACAUUCUUGAUGAUGUGGAUGCAUAUAUUUGUUCAAAGCUAAAUCAUUGAAAAAGGUAUGUAUAUAUUUUUUGAAAGAGAUGCACAAUUAUUUUUUUAGAAGAGGCACUUAUCCAUUUCACAAAUUUAAACAUUGAUUUGAAAGAUACGGUGACUGAAGAAUAAAAAUUACAUUGUGCAAGCCUUUCCAUCUGAAAGAUACAUCUAUACUACUUAUAUUCUCAACCACUGAAUUAAAAUUCCCCUGACCAAAUUUCUUCCUAUAGAAAUUUUGCCAGAGAUAGUUAGUUAAGUGGUUGAGGUCUAUUCCUUAUAAAUAAAAUCAAAUAACAUUUUAGUAAAUCUAGCCUCUUGUUCAAAUCAAAUGGCUUUUCUUAUUUUGCUCUAGUCCUCAAUGUUCUUCAACUCCUCAGCAUUACAGUGAGGUAAAAUCCGUUCCAGCAACUGGUCCACUAUUCCCCUCAUAUUUACAAUGUGUUUAACAUUAUCAAUAGCUUUUUCUAGACACAAAUCUUCCAAGGAGGAA